GUGGUACACCACCCAAUCCGCUUCCCUAAUAAGGCUUCCAAAGCCCCGUACAGGCCUCGGAGCCUCCGUCCUUUCCUAGCUAGGGACGGGCGGGGUAGUACCCAAUCCGCGUCCCUUAGAAACCUUCUAAAAACCCAUUACCUUCCAUUCUGCAAUCCCCAAAAACUCAAACCAGCAUUUGGAAUUCGAGCUUUCUUCCUUGCGAUUUUCUUCGUCGGCUUCGUGUAAAAGUGUCUUCGAGAUUUCUCAAAUUCCGUUUCGAGGUGGGAUCAGAGGCAUAAGCAGUGGUGACGAUGCUUUCGUCUCUAGGUAGAAUAGAAAACAAGACUUCGUUGGACAAAAUUUAUUAAGUAUGGAUUGUUUUUACCAAUGCUUCUAGGGAAUCCUCUUACGCAAUCGCAACAUAAGAGUCUUGCAAGUGUAUAGAGUAACAGUAUCUCAAAAUUGCUCAAGAAAUUUGAGCUAAUUUUAUUUUUGAAAAUUGGCUAAUAUGUUUUUACUGUAAAUCGGAUGACAACAAAAUGUGAAUCAUCAAUGUAAAUUUUUUUAAUUAACUGUAUCUAAUGCAUUUGUGAUUUUCCGAAUAUGCACUAGAACUCUACAAACGAUACUCUCCUCUAUGUAUGUGCAAAUGUUUCAAAAGAGGUACCGGGUGAAUGUUUUAAGCAAGAUAGAUUCUUAUCGCUUGCUCAGAUCUGAGAAGAUUAUACCCCUCAAGCAUGAAACUAUGGUGGAAAAUCAAUAGUAUGUGACAAAAAGACAUUGAAAAUUCGCCUUAAAGUUGGUGUUGGCGAAGCACCCAAUGUGAACUUUAAGGCGAAUUUUCAGCGUCUUCUUGUCACAUACUCUUGAUUUUUCCACUAGAGUCUCAUGCUUGGGAGUAUAAUCUUCACAGACCCGAGUAAGCAAUAAGAAUCUAUCUUACUCAAAACCUUUACACGGUUCCUCUUUUGGAACGCUUGCAUGUACAUGAAGGUGAGUAUUGUUUGUGGAGCACAAAUGCAUAUUCCUAAAAUCAUGAAAGCAUUAGAUAUGGUCAACUAUAGAGCAGAAUUUUCUAUGUUGAGGAUCCACAUUUUGUUGCCAUCUGAUUUACAAUAAAAACAUUGGGGAUACUACUACUUUGUACACUUGCAAGACUUUUAUGUUAUGAUCGCGUAAGAGGAUUCCGUGGAAGUAUUAGUAAAAAUGAUCUCUAGUAUUGCUGAUAUCAAAGAGCAAAUGCAUCUCUGAUAAGGAGGUUAUUCUGAGUUAGGAAUGUCAAUGGUCUGCAUUGAAACCAACUGCUACUACUUCUGGCACUGAAUGUUGCCAGCUUGCAAGAAACAAAAGGGACAACUGAUACCACAAAUGAAAGCUCACUCAUCAUGUGGCGGAAAGUGGGAUUGGCUGAUGGGGUAACUAAUGAUGUCGUAGGAUUGCAAAAAGAGUCGAGUGAGCCUGAUAACCUGAAGAAAUCAGUUAAAGCAAAGCAAGACCUCCAUCUUCAAACGGUGUUAUGAAUGCGCAAGGUCUUCAAAGUCUCACCUGUUGAGAAUAGCUUGAAAGAAGCUAUUGAUUUGAAACAUGCAACUGACAAACUGAAGAUAAUCUCCUUGAUGACAAUCCUUAGUUGGUGGCAUGCAAAUAGACUUGAGAAAAGAAACACCAUAAUAGUUCAUAUUCUACUGGAAAGGGGCCAAAGAUUUUGAAGCAUGGUUGGUUGACUGCAUCCACCGUAUGGCCCAUCAGAUCAACAGUUUGGAUCACUUAAUCAUUGGCCCCACUUGUACAAACUGAAGAUGAUCAUCCUUGUGUCAAAAUGGAGAAUCGGAAAUCGAAGUUAUUGGCAUAUAUCUUCGUGCGGCCUUACAAUUUCUACUUGCCGCAUCGAUGUUCGAGGUUCGCAAGAUGGGAAGCGCAACACUAGGAGAAAAAACUCUGUCAACAGAGAUCUAUAUCAACACACCAAUAGUCUUGAAGGCAAGAAUCAUCACCAUCAUCUGCAAUUGAUGUAACUAAUAUACAUGAGGAUGGCGCACGCCUUGGGUCCGAAGCGAAGGGAGUAGAACCGCUUGCCAUUAGAGCUACCUGUAGCGGCUCUCACCUCCUUAAUCAUGCUGAAUUUGUGAUGGACUCUACUGAGAUCACUAUCAGCAUUGAAAGCUGAUUAGUGGAAAGAUGGGGUGCAAGGUAUCGGCUAGCAUUAGAGUAAAAAUCAACAUCUAAACGGUCAAUCCCAAAGAUAAAAAUGUACAGAGAUCUCAGCAAUUUGUGGAGACAUUAUUCAGUGGCCCACACCCUUGAAUCCAAAAUUUGAAGCUCCAGCUGCGUAAGUAUGUCAUUUAUGUAUGAAAGCGGCCCCAGCAUCAAGUGCAUGAUGAAUACAUGUAAAUUGAUUUCUCAACUUUAAAGCGAUUGUUUGGUAUCAGUAAGAGAAAUUCAAUCCCAAAAUGCUGCCAUUAGAAAUAAUGUAUCAGUGUUGUACAGCUAUUCUUUUCUGUAAGAAAACAGACUACCAGGUUUUUGUUUGAAGAGGAAUUAUUGUACAAGGUCCCUACUAUGCCUCAAAAAUAUUAUUGAUGGGAAGAUCUUAAUCA
This is an RNA transcript of Magnolia sinica, 2579 nucleotides long. It is a transcript of the gene named cysteine-tryptophan domain-containing zinc finger protein 3-like, with no coding region annotated. Lineage: Eukaryota; Viridiplantae; Streptophyta; Magnoliopsida; Magnoliales; Magnoliaceae. The record is from RefSeq and is a predicted model, not a curated record. The transcript is spliced from 6 exons.